CUUUGUGAAAUUCUGCCAUUCCCCCACGGAAAAAUCACGAUUUGACCGGUUUGAGGAAGUGGCCAGACUUUCGUGUAUUCAUUUGGCCAGACUUUCAUAUCCAGAUAAACACGAAAGUGUGCCACAAUUAACACUGUAUUUGCGUGUGAAUUUUUUUUUUUUUUGUAUGACAGUGAAAUACCACCUGUCGUUAGCAUAGGCGCCAAAUUUAUCUUUCAUUGUGGCCAGCUGCCUGUUGCAAAAACACACCAUUACAAAAUCUUUGCAGCUAAUACUUGCAUUUGCGUAUAACGUAUAUACUUAAUAAAACGUAAUUCAACAAAUCUGAGCGAAAUGUUCUGCGAAAAUUUUAACUUAAGCACGCGUGAAUCAAAAACCAGAGGUAUCAUACGAAGCAACGUUCUAGUUACGUCAUCCCGCUUGCCAGCCGAGAUCAUGGAGUAGAAUUUGACGCUUGACGGAGGUGAAAAAGACUCGUGUGGCCUUGCAUGUGACAGCAAAAAGUUCGCUGUCAUGUUUUCCAGGAUCUGGCUUAAUUACGCGCUGUUGGUGGAUAAAGUGCAUGCAGACUUAGGAGGUAACGGAACACGCCUUCCGUUGAACGUUGCUCAGCACAAGUUCCAAGUGGGGACUAGGGACUUUUACGAACUGUAAAAACACUGUAGGGACGACUAGUGCUCGUGUACUACAAAUCUAGUGUCAACGCUAACUACAACGACGAACGAAAGCCCCAUCAACACACAUUUGUGUCCACUGCUGCCAUCACAGGGGCAAGCUUCUGCAAUCCAAGUCUUGUUUCCUGCUCACCACAUCGUGUAGAAGCCUUUGCCCUUGGACACAGCCAUAUGCUGAACAUCCAAUUGAAGAAGUUGUUGCAGGAGCCAUAUUUUUGUAAGGAUCCAUUUCAUGCUCAAAGCAGUCAAGUCAUGUGCAGAAAUGUGGUUGCCUGUGUCUGGAGCACAUGAAGCUGAUACACAAGGGAAGGAGCUGCUGAAGACAUUAUGCUCCAUGGAACGCUGCCCUUGCCCUUUUCCACACGAGUCAAUAUGUUGGAUACUGUGAAAAGUGAAUAAAUUAUUUCAGACCCUGCAGUGGUAACUGAAUGCCUUGCUUAAUUGGAACUUGUGUGGUACUAUGGAGCCUGGAAGUUGUAUAAUUUUUGUGUGGGUUUGUUUGCAAAGACACUGCAACUAAUAAAAGGGCAAAGUUCUUAGUCGCUGCAACUCUCUCUUUCUUUUUUUUUGGAUGUCAUUGCAUCGGUGUGGUCACACAAGUGCUAUAUAUCAGAAACGUUGAAAGAACUUCAUAUUUAAAUGCAGAGAUAUGUAUAGUUAGUCUAUCCCUGUGGGAACCACAUUCAACAAUUAUUGAGUUACACUACUAUUUGAUGGAAUGCCUAGGCCUCUGGCAUAAUCUGAUCAUUACCAGCUUUAUUCAUUUUCUAGUAGCCAUUGGAGGUGCUUCGUUAUGUUCCAUAGACAUACUGAGCAGCCCAUUAGAAUCUCUAAAUGCUGUUAUUACACAGUGUUAUGUAUU
Dermacentor silvarum is the source of this 1536-nucleotide long non-coding RNA. RefSeq lists it as uncharacterized. Lineage: Eukaryota; Metazoa; Arthropoda; Arachnida; Ixodida; Ixodidae. The transcript has 5 exons. The record is from RefSeq and is a predicted model, not a curated record.